GUGCCAGCAGCCGCGGUAAUACGAGAGGCCCAAACGUUAUUCGGAAUUACUGGGCUUAAAGAGUCCGUAGGCGGCGCGGAAAGUGGGGUGUGAAAGCCCUCGGCUCAACCGAGGAAUUGCGCUCCAAACUACCGUGCUUGAGGAACCUAGAGGUGAGCAGAACUGAUGGUGGAGCGGUGAAAUGCGUUGAUAUCAUCAGGAAUACCGGAGGCGAAGGCGGCUCACUGGGGGUUUUCUGACGCUGAGGGACGAAAGCCAGGGUAGCGAACGGGAUUAGAAACCCCCGUAGUCC
Molecule: ribosomal RNA, 292 nt
Filed under: uncultured bacterium
Lineage: Bacteria
Description: partial 16S ribosomal RNA
Rfam family: Bacterial small subunit ribosomal RNA
Source: RNAcentral